This 397-nucleotide ribosomal RNA is filed under the name uncultured bacterium. Its description in RNAcentral is "partial 16S ribosomal RNA". It matches the Rfam family "Bacterial small subunit ribosomal RNA", at positions 338 to 732 of the family's 1533-position model. The record is from RNAcentral.
CCUACGGGAGGCAGCAGUGAGGAAUAUUGGUCAAUGGACGAGAGUCUGAACCAGCCAAGUAGCGUGAAGGAUGACUGCCCUAUGGGUUGUAAACUUCUUUUAUAUGGGAAUAAAAUGUUCCACGUGUGGGAUUUUGUAUGUACCAUAUGAAUAAGGAUCGGCUAACUCCGUGCCAGCAGCCGCGGUAAUACGGAGGGUUCGAGCGUUAAUCGGAUUUAUUGGGUGUAAAGCGAUCGUAGGCGGAAUGUCAAGUCAGUGGUGAAAGCCCGGGGCUCAACGGUGGAAUUGCCGUUGAAACUGGUAGUCUUGAGUGCAGGAGAGGUGAGUGGAAUUCCUGGUGUAGCGGUGAAAUGCUUAGAUAUCACGAAGAACUUCGGUGGCGAAGGCGGCUAACUGG